GACGAACGCUGGCGGCGUGCCUAAUACAUGCAAGUUGAGCGCUGAAGGUUGGUACUUGUACCGACUGGAUGAGCAGCGAACGGGUGAGUAACGCGUGGGGAAUCUGCCUUUGAGCGGGGGACAACAUUUGGAAACGAAUGCUAAUACCGCAUAAAAACUUUAAACACAAGUUUUAAGUUUGAAAGAUGCAAUUGCAUCACUCAAAGAUGAUCCCGCGUUGUAUUAGCUAGUUGGUGAGGUAAAGGCUCACCAAGGCGAUGAUACAUAGCCGACCUGAGAGGGUGAUCGGCCACAUUGGGACUGAGACACGGCCCAAACUCCUACGGGAGGCAGCAGUAGGGAAUCUUCGGCAAUGGACGAAAGUCUGAACGAGCAACGCCGCGUGAGUGAAGAAGGGUUUCGGAUCGUAAAACUCUGUUGGUAGAGAAGAACGUUGGUGAGAGUGGAAAGCUCAUCAAGUGACGGUAACUACACAGAAAGGGACGGCUAACUACGUG
This 497-nucleotide ribosomal RNA is filed under the name uncultured bacterium. RNAcentral's name for it is "partial 16S ribosomal RNA". It matches the Rfam family "Bacterial small subunit ribosomal RNA", at positions 28 to 507 of the family's 1533-position model. The record is from RNAcentral.